This 373-nucleotide ribosomal RNA is filed under the name uncultured organism. Its description in RNAcentral is "partial 16S ribosomal RNA". It matches the Rfam family "Bacterial small subunit ribosomal RNA", at positions 527 to 896 of the family's 1533-position model. The record is from RNAcentral.
GUAGGUGGCAAGCGUUGACCGGAAUUAUUGGGCGUAAAGCGCGCGCAGGCGGUCCUUUAAGUCUGAUGUGAAAGCCCACGGCUCAACCGUGGAGGGUCAUUGGAAACUGGGGGACUUGAGUACAGAAGAGGAAAGCGGAAUUCCAAGUGUAGCGGUGAAAUGCGUAGAGAUUUGGAGGAACACCAGUGGCGAAGGCGGCUUUCUGGUCUGUAACUGACGCUGAGGCGCGAAAGCGUGGGGAGCAAACAGGAUUAGAUACCCUGGUAGUCCACGCCGUAAACGAUGAGUGCUAAGUGUUAGGGGGUUUCCCGCCCCCUUAGUGCUGCAGCUAACGCAUUAAGCACUCCGCCUGGGGAGUACGGCCGCAAGGCUG